AAGGAAAUAAAAAAUCAUCCUCGUCUCAGACUCAGAGGGUAGAAUCGGGACCUGUUCCUUAUCAAACCUCCCACUACCUGCCUGUUUUGCUCACGGAGAAUGAAAGGACCAGAACAACUUGGGAUGAGACUGGGUUGUUCACGCGACCUUCUCGGCACCUACUAGCACACCAUAGUGUAUCUGGGUAUGAGGAGCAGAAGAACUGGACCCAGCUUGAAUUGGUUUUGGGUGCAUGCCAAUGUCCUCAGGAACCUUUCACGGAGACUCUGCGAUUUACCAUCUUAUGCCUAGGCACAAUAGAGAGGGCCUA
Rattus norvegicus (Norway rat) is the source of this 310-nucleotide non-coding RNA. NCBI's taxonomy places the organism in Eukaryota, Metazoa, Chordata, Mammalia, Rodentia, Muridae. The record is from RefSeq and is a predicted model, not a curated record.